Molecule: non-coding RNA, 136 nt
Organism: Triticum urartu
Lineage: Eukaryota; Viridiplantae; Streptophyta; Magnoliopsida; Poales; Poaceae
Source: Rfam
UACAUACUCCCUCCGUCCGAAAAUACUUGUCUUGAAAAUGGACAAAAAAUUGAUGUAUCUAGAACUAAAAUACAUCUAGAUACAUCAUCUUUUAUUCAUUUUGAUGACAAGUAUUUUCGGACGGAGGGAGUACUUA